RNAcentral lists this long non-coding RNA (236 nucleotides) under Brassica napus (rape). Its description in RNAcentral is "long non-coding RNA (BNAP_LNC013319)". The record is from RNAcentral. Lineage: Eukaryota; Viridiplantae; Streptophyta; Magnoliopsida; Brassicales; Brassicaceae.
UAUAUCAUGUUAACCUAACUUUCAUCAUAUACAAAAUAUCGGCUGCAAACAAAUAAUACGAUCAUCUUUCUAUAUUUUGGUUUUAAGUCUAAUAAUAGUCAGACUGAAAAAUUUUAUGUUGUCUUAAUGUAGCCCAUAACCAAACUAUACUUCAAAUUAUAAGUUUAAUCAUAUUUUUAAUUGUAUUUUUAAUAUAUUAAUUUUCCAUCUUAUGUUGUCAAAAAGAAAGUAAAAAU